This is a non-coding RNA of Triticum aestivum (bread wheat), 115 nucleotides long. NCBI's taxonomy places the organism in Eukaryota, Viridiplantae, Streptophyta, Magnoliopsida, Poales, Poaceae. The record is from Rfam.
UAUCUACUCCCUCCAUUCGGAAUUAGUUGGCGCAUAAAUGGAUGUAUCUAGAUGUAUUUUAGUUCUAGAUACAUCCAUUUCUGAGACAAGUAAUUCCAAACGGAGGGAGUAACAG